RNAcentral lists this ribosomal RNA (819 nucleotides) under uncultured bacterium. Its description in RNAcentral is "bacterial SSU rRNA". It matches the Rfam family "Bacterial small subunit ribosomal RNA", at positions 55 to 831 of the family's 1533-position model. The record is from RNAcentral.
AUGCAGUCGAACGCGUCUUGGUUAUUGAUGUUGGAUGCUUGCAUUUAACUGAUUUAACAUUGAGACGAGUGGCGAACUGGUGAGUAACACGUGGGUAACCUGCCCUUGAAGUAGGGGAUAACACUUGGAAACAGGUGCUAAUACCGUAUAACAACCAAAACCACCUGGUUUUGGUUUAAAAGAUGGCUUCGGCUAUCACUUUAGGAUGGACCCGCGGCGUAUUAGCUUGUUGGUAAGGUAACGGCCUACCAAGGCAAUGAUACGUAGCCGACCUGAGAGGGUAAUCGGCCACAUUGGGACUGAGACACGGCCCAAACUCCUACGGGAGGCAGCAGUAGGGAAUCUUCCACAAUGGACGAAAGUCUGAUGGAGCAACGCCGCGUGAGUGAUGAAGGGUUUCGGCUCGUAAAACUCUGUUGUUGGAGAAGAACAGGUGUGAGAGUAACUGUUCACAUCUUGACGGUAUCCAACCAGAAAGCCACGGCUAACUACGUGCCAGCAGCCGCGGUAAUACGUAGGUGGCAAGCGUUGUCCGGAUUUAUUGGGCGUAAAGCGAGCGCAGGCGGUUUCUUAGGUCUGAUGUGAAAGCCUUCGGCUUAACCGGAGAAGUGCAUCGGAAACCAGGAGACUUGAGUGCAGAAGAGGACAGUGGAACUCCAUGUGUAGCGGUGAAAUGCGUAGAUAUAUGGAAGAACACCAGUGGCGAAGGCGGCUGUCUGGUCUGUAACUGACGCUGAGGCUCGAAAGCAUGGGUAGCGAACAGGAUUAGAUACCCUGGUAGUCCAUGCCGUAAACGAUGAGUGCUAAGUGUUGGAGGGU